Molecule: long non-coding RNA, 1935 nt
Organism: Saccostrea echinata
Lineage: Eukaryota; Metazoa; Mollusca; Bivalvia; Ostreida; Ostreidae
Exons: 10
Source: RefSeq, a predicted model, not a curated record
AUGGAUUUUUUGCGCAUGCGCACGAGUAACUUCCGUGAAAAUGGACAUCAACAGUAAAAAAAUGUGCUGGUUACCGGAAGUUCACAAGAACCAGUUAAGCGAAGGUAACACCCUACAACAUGAACAUGAACUGAUCACUGAGACUGCAUUGCGUAUGAAAGACAGUUUUACAUCCAAAUGGCUAGCUCAGAUGUGGAAGUGGAAUCGGACCCUUUUAGUUGGGAAUUCAAUGGAAAUUCAUUUGACAGUGAUGAUGAUGAUGAGAUUAAUUCAGCUUGUUGUGAUCCUCCUGGACAUCCAAGUGUUUUCGACAUUGAUGAAGAUUUUGUCAAUCUCUCUCUUGGACCAAACCAAGAAAUGAUGGUUUUAAGAAGAUUAUAGGAUAUGUCAUAGAAUACGAAGACCCCACCACUGGAGGCAGGCUAAUGACUACCCAGUAGAUGAGUGUGUUUAUGAGGUGAAGGGAUUAAAAAAGGACAAGGAAUACAACUUCCACAUACAGGCCAAGAAUCUUGAAGGUUUUUAAAUUAGUCUAGUGAUGUGAUUGGUCGAUCCCAUAACUCCCAAGCCCAAAUACACCAAGGUUUUGCCACCUGGUGUACCAGAGGCUGUCAACAAUUCUUUAACUUAUCUGAAAUGGGAACCACCUAAACAUAAUGGUGGCUGUAAAAUUACAGACUACCUUGUAGAAGAGAGGUUUAAGGGAACAGAGAAAUGAGUACCCCUGCACUGACCCCUCUUUACUGUCACCGAUCUUCCUCAGGACUCAGAGUGGGAGUUUAGAGUUACAGCUGAUAACUUUGCUGGAAACUGUGAGCCCAGUCUGUGCUCACCAGCAUACAAAAUCCAGGAGAAGAUUGAGUCUUUUGCAGUUGAGCAGGAUGAGGAAUCACACCAAUCAUUUGUAAAUGAAAGCAGCAGUCAUGAUGUUGUCAAUGAGAAUGAAUUUUAAAUAGGACAUGAUACAGGGCCACUUUCAAGUGAUGAAGCAGACGAGUAUGAUGAUGGUAAUGAUGAUGAAUCAUACCAUCCUUCAAGCGAUGAAAAAAGCUGUGAUGAAGAUACCAUUAAUGAUCUUGAUAUGCCCAGUAAGCCUCUCAAAUCUGAAAUGCAGCAGAAACAAGCUGCACUUGCAAGUGACAGCGAAAAGGAGAGUGAAUGUGAAGAUGAUCAUGAUGAUGUCAGCAAAGUUUUACCACAGUCAGAGAAGCGAAAGACCAGGUUUUUAGAGGCCAAAAACAUCGUCUGGGAACUAUGAUAAUAAAAAACAUUCAUGUCUCUUUUGUGAGAAAUUUUGCCAGCAGGCAGUUGAUGGUAUGCAUAUCAUAUAAGCCCAUAGCUCUUUAAGUACAAAAAAUUGUGAGAUUCAUUUUUGCAUAUAGGUUCAGGAUGGAGCUGAAUAUUGAAAAAAUAUAUCCUAUAAAUUUUUUUUCAUGGACAUGUAGCAGACAGCUGUUUGCAUAAUUUAAGCAAGUAAUUAUUUUUUAACCAAAAUUUGUGAAAUUUAUUGCUCAUGACCCAUUGUUCAUGCAAGGUUUACCUAUUUAUAUUGACACUGCAACAGGCCCAUAGACCCCCCCCCCACUUUUUCUGAGUAUAGUAUUUUGCUAUAGUAAAGUAUCCUUUAUAUCCUGGUUGCCCCUCCCCCCCCCCCCCCCUCUUUUUGUUGCAAUAAGGUCGGUUCAGUAAAUAAUGUUUUUUUUUGCUUGUCAGAUAUUUUUUAAAGUCCCCCCUACUUUUGAAACCAUUUCUAUGGGCUGUAAAUUGAAGUUUUAAAAAAUCCUUUACUGGUGAACAUCUAGCAGGCAAACUAGCAGGCAUAAAAUUAAAUAUGAAGAUUAUGAAUAGUAAUCAAACUCAAAAGUCCAUUAGAAUAAUCCAUAUUCGUAGCAGAGCAAACAUGGACCUCUAAAAUUAAUCUUAAUUAAUGCUUAG